Molecule: long non-coding RNA, 373 nt
Organism: Pristis pectinata (smalltooth sawfish)
Lineage: Eukaryota; Metazoa; Chordata; Chondrichthyes; Rhinopristiformes; Pristidae
Exons: 3
Source: RefSeq, a predicted model, not a curated record
GUAAGUGCCUCGGAAAGGCCUUUAAGUGGAAGAAGAUCAACUAUAGUUCGCAUGUAUGUGUUGAUCCUACAACUAAUGACACCGAAACGACGCGGUGGCGAAUGGAAAUGAGCAGGAGAAAGAAAAAGAUUAAUAAGAGGAUGAGAGAUAAUGCAAUCACUGAAUUCAGCACAGCAAACUUAAAUUGGAAGAGUCACGGAGCAAUGCAGCACAGAAACAGGCCAUUUGGCCCAACUCGUCAUUGACGAUCAAGAUGCUAAAGGUCUUCAUGUGCAUGCAAAGGUUUAACAAGAACAAAUCCAGGUUUCAAUGUACCGUGGACCAAUCUGAUUUGGAAUCUGGAAGAUUAUUUACUUGAUUACUAAGAAACCAG